RNAcentral lists this ribosomal RNA (545 nucleotides) under Triops longicaudatus. Its description in RNAcentral is "partial 12S ribosomal RNA". The record is from RNAcentral. Lineage: Eukaryota; Metazoa; Arthropoda; Branchiopoda; Notostraca; Triopsidae.
AGAGAGCGACGGGCGAUGUGUACACACCUCAGAGCUCAUUUCAAUUAAGAAUUUUAUUCUCAAUUUACUACUAAAUCCACCUUCAUAAUUUGUAUUACACUAAUUAAUCCGUAUAAUUCUAUAUUAUUGUAACCCACUACUCCCAUGUUUAUAAGCUGCACCUUGACCUGAAGUCCCAAUUACCUAUUAAUUAGAUUAUAUUUUUUAAAAAUAAUCUGACAACGGCGGUAUACAAACUGAAAACAAAAACAUGUACAUUAAAACGUGGAUUAUCGAUCCAAGAGCAGGUUCCUCUAGUAAGAGUAAGGUACCGCCAAAUUCUUUAGGUUUCAAAAAUUCUACUACCCUGGUAAUUAAUAAAAUAAAGAAUAAUAGGGUAUCUAAUCCUAGUUUAAAUCUUAAUUUUCAAAGAUAAUUCAUUCUGUUAUAACUUUUCAUUUAAAAAAAUAAAAAUUUUACCCUUAAUUUUUUAUUUAAAAAAUUUAUUUAAAACAAAUAUUUACUUCAUUCCACCAAUCUAUUUCAUUUAAAUCCUUCGUAUAACC